RNAcentral lists this ribosomal RNA (505 nucleotides) under uncultured bacterium. Its description in RNAcentral is "partial 16S ribosomal RNA". It matches the Rfam family "Bacterial small subunit ribosomal RNA", at positions 28 to 507 of the family's 1533-position model. The record is from RNAcentral.
GACGAACGCUGGCGGCGUGCCUAAUACAUGCAAGUAGAACGCACAGUUUAUACCGUAGCUUGCUACACCAUAGACUGUGAGUUGCGAACGGGUGAGUAACGCGUAGGUAACCUGCCUGGUAGCGGGGGAUAACUAUUGGAAACGAUAGCUAAUACCGCAUAAUAUUAAUUAUUGCAUGAUAAUUAAUUGAAAGGUGCAAUUGCACCACCACCAGAUGGACCUGCGUUGUAUUAGCUAGUAGGUGAGGUAACGGCUCACCUAGGCGACGAUACAUAGCCGACCUGAGAGGGUGAUCGGCCACACUGGGACUGAGACACGGCCCAGACUCCUACGGGAGGCAGCAGUAGGGAAUCUUCGGCAAUAGACGAAAGUCUGACCGAGCAACGCCGCGUGAGUGAAGAAGGUUUUCGGAUCGUAAAGCUCUGUUGUAAGAGAAGAACGGGUGUGAGAGUGGAAAGUUCACACUGUGACGGUAUCUUACCAGAAAGGGACGGCUAACUACGUG